AGAGUUUGAUCCUGGCUCAGAGUGAACGCUGGCGGCAGGCCUAACACAUGCAAGUCGAUCGGCAGCACAGCAGUAGCAAUACUGUGGGUGGCGAGUGGCGGACGGGUGAGGAAUGCGUCGGAAUCUGCCUAUUUGUGGGGGAUAACGUAGGGAAACUUACGCUAAUACCGCAUACGACCUACGGGUGAAAGUGGGGGACCUUCGGGCCUCACGCAGAUAGAUGAGCCGACGCCGGAUUAGCUAGUUGGCGGGGUAAAGGCCCACCAAGGCGACGAUCCGUAGCUGGUCUGAGAGGAUGAUCAGCCACACUGGGACUGAGACACGGCCCAGACUCCUACGGGAGGCAGCAGUGGGGAAUAUUGGACAAUGGGCGCAAGCCUGAUCCAGCCAUGCCGCGUGUGUGAAGAAGGCCUUCGGGUUGUAAAGCACUUUUGUCCGGAAAGAAAUCCUUUCGAUUAAUACUCGGGAGGGAUGACGGUACCGG
This 484-nucleotide ribosomal RNA is filed under the name uncultured bacterium. Its description in RNAcentral is "bacterial SSU rRNA". It matches the Rfam family "Bacterial small subunit ribosomal RNA", at positions 8 to 481 of the family's 1533-position model. The record is from RNAcentral.